Molecule: small RNA, 120 nt
Filed under: Pseudomonas monteilii
Lineage: Bacteria; Pseudomonadati; Pseudomonadota; Gammaproteobacteria; Pseudomonadales; Pseudomonadaceae
Description: Manganese sequence
Rfam family: Manganese Mn2+ riboswitch aptamer (yybP-ykoY)
About the family: This RNA was originally discovered in E. coli during a large scale screen and was named SraF. The family was later found to exist upstream of related families of protein genes in many bacteria, including the the yybP and ykoK genes in B. subtilis. The specific functions of these proteins are unknown, but this structured RNA element may be involved in their genetic regulation as a riboswitch.
Source: RNAcentral
CGCCCCGUCCUAGGGGAGUAGUCUCCCGCGAGCGCCCUGCUCGCCCGGCAUGCGUCAACAUACUUGGCCCUCAGGCCAUGGCGCAUGCGACCCACGGUCCGCGCAGACGGAUCCGGGGUU